UGUGUAGGCUGGUUCCGUAAGUAUGGUGUGAAAUCUCCCGGCGUUAACUGGGAGGGUGCGCUAUAAACUGCGGGACUAGAGUGCGGGAGAGGAAAGUGGAAUUCCUGGUGUAGCGGUGAAAUGCGUAGAUAUCAGGAGGAACACCGGUGGUGUAAACGGCUUUCUGGACCGUAACUGACGCUGAGACACGAAAGCGUGGGUAGCAAACAGGAUUAGAUACCCUGGUAGUCCACGCCCUAAACGAUGCAUAUUUGGUGUGGGCCAUUCAGUUGGUCCGUGCCGGAGCUAACGCGUUAAAUAUGCCGCCUGGGGAGUACAGUCGCAAGGCUGAA
Molecule: ribosomal RNA, 332 nt
Filed under: uncultured bacterium
Lineage: Bacteria
Description: bacterial SSU rRNA
Rfam family: Bacterial small subunit ribosomal RNA
Source: RNAcentral